AUUAACGCGAAGAACCUUACCUACCCUUGACAUGGUCGGAAUCCUGAAGAGAUUCGGGAGUGCUCGAAAGAGAACCGGCGCACAGGUGCUGCAUGGCUGUCGUCAGCUCGUGUCGUGAGAUGUUGGGUUAAGUCCCGCAACGAGCGCAACCCUUGUCCUGUACUGCCAGCGGGUUAUGCCGGGGACUUGCAGGAGACUGCCGGGGUCAACUCGGAGGAAGGUGGGGAUGACGUCAAGUCAUCAUGCCCCUUAUGUCCAGGGCUUCACACAUGCUACAAUGGCGCGUACAGAGGGCUGCGAGACCGUGAGGUGGAGCGAAUCCCUUAAAGCGCGUCUCAGUUCGGAUUGGGGUCUGCAACUCGACCCCGUGAAGUCGGAGUCGCUAGUAAUCGCAGAUCAGCAACGCUGCGGUGAAUACGUUCCCGGGCCUUGUACACACCGAAU
This 444-nucleotide ribosomal RNA is filed under the name Gordonia sp. enrichment culture clone HD-13. RNAcentral describes it as "bacterial SSU rRNA". It matches the Rfam family "Bacterial small subunit ribosomal RNA", at positions 955 to 1395 of the family's 1533-position model. Lineage: Bacteria; Bacillati; Actinomycetota; Actinomycetes; Mycobacteriales; Gordoniaceae. The record is from RNAcentral.